RNAcentral lists this ribosomal RNA (219 nucleotides) under Enterococcus faecalis. RNAcentral's name for it is "partial 16S ribosomal RNA". It matches the Rfam family "Bacterial small subunit ribosomal RNA", at positions 1217 to 1433 of the family's 1533-position model. Lineage: Bacteria; Bacillati; Bacillota; Bacilli; Lactobacillales; Enterococcaceae. The record is from RNAcentral.
CACACGUGCUACAAUGGGAAGUACAACGAGUCGAUAGACCGCGAGGUCAUGCAAAUCUCUUAAAGCUUCUCUCAGUUCGGAUUGCAGGCUGCAACUCGCCUGCAUGAAGCCGGAAUCGCUAGUAAUCGCGGAUCAGCACGCCGCGGUGAAUACGUUCCCGGGCCUUGUACACACCGCCCGUCACACCACGAAGAGUUUUGUAACACCCGAAGUCGGUGG